RNAcentral lists this ribosomal RNA (426 nucleotides) under uncultured bacterium. RNAcentral describes it as "bacterial SSU rRNA". It matches the Rfam family "Bacterial small subunit ribosomal RNA", at positions 349 to 793 of the family's 1533-position model. The record is from RNAcentral.
CAGCAGUGGGAAUCUUAGACAAUGGGCGCAAGCCUGAUCUAGCCAUGCCGCGUGAGUGAUGAAGGCCUUAGGGUCGUAAAGCUCUUUCGCCAGGGAUGAUAAUGACAGUACCUGGUAAAGAAACCCCGGACUAACUCCGUGCCAGCAGCCGCGGUAAUACGGAGGGGUUAGCGUUGUUCGGAAUUACUGGGCGUAAAGCGCGCGUAGGCGGAUUAGUCAGUUAGAGGUGAAAUCCCAGGGCUCAACCCUGGAACUGCCUUUAAUACUGCUAGUCUUGAGUUCGAGAGAGGUGAGUGGAAUUCCGAGUGUAGAGGUGAAAUUCGUAGAUAUUCGGAGGAACACCAGUGGCGAAGGCGGCUCACUGGCUCGAUACUGACGCUGAGGUGCGAAAGUGUGGGGAGCAAACAGGAUUAGAUACCCUGGUAG